UUUUCGAUUUGUUGUUGCCGUUGUUAGUUGCCCGGUUAGUUUGCUGGCUUGUAGCUGGGGGUCCCAUUUGCUUAAUCUGUCAGCAUCUGGCGUGUAGCAGUUUUUGAUCCUCAUGUGAUAAAUUUUCAUUAAAUUAGAGGGGAGUGUGUUGUUGGCCACCUUUCGUUGCAUGUUGAAGUGGACUUAAAGCAAUGAUGUGUAUCCCCUUUACAUUUCUCUGUAGACAAACUAACUCCGUAUUGCUCAUUCGUUUACGGAAUUUUCAUCCCCUAUUCGGCAGCCUCGUUGUUUAGUAAACUCCGCGAGGUUUUCAUCAACUUUUUGCUCAUUAUCCCAAAACGCGCCCGCGUUUUUUGCCGCGCCAGUUGGAGGCACUUGCCAACUGCGUCUGCCAUUGGCCUGGCAACUAGAAAUCCUGCUGAUUGGACGGAUGAGGUCCUUAGGCGCCAAAUCGGGAACGCUUUUGCUCUGUGGAUGUUGUCUGCGAUUGAAGGAGUUUUACUGCUUAUAUAAUAAUGGGGUAAAGUUUGGUACUUUAAAAUGGUACUCCAACGAAAUGGGGAAUUAUAAUUUAAAAUAUUAAAGACACCUGUUGGUUCUUUAUAUAAA
Long non-coding RNA from Drosophila yakuba, 609 nucleotides. RefSeq lists it as uncharacterized. The transcript is spliced from 2 exons. NCBI's taxonomy places the organism in Eukaryota, Metazoa, Arthropoda, Insecta, Diptera, Drosophilidae. The record is from RefSeq and is a predicted model, not a curated record.